This 711-nucleotide ribosomal RNA is filed under the name uncultured bacterium. Its description in RNAcentral is "bacterial SSU rRNA". It matches the Rfam family "Bacterial small subunit ribosomal RNA", at positions 53 to 794 of the family's 1533-position model. The record is from RNAcentral.
ACAUGCAGUCGAACGAGAAAGGGACUUCGGUCCCUGAGUAUAGUGGCGCACGGGUGAGUAACACGUGACUAAUCUACCCUCGAGUGGGGAAUAACUGAGAGAAAUCUUAGCUAAUACCGCAUAACACUUACGAGUCAAAGCAGCAAUGCGCUUGGGGAGGAGGUCGCGGCCGAUUAGCUAGUUGGCGGGGUAAUGGCCCACCAAGGCGAUGAUCGGUAUCCGGCCUGAGAGGGCGCACGGACACACUGGAACUGAAACACGGUCCAGACUCCUACGGGAGGCAGCAGUGGGGAAUUUUGCGCAAUGGGGGAAACCCUGACGCAGCAACGCCGCGUGGAGGAUGAAGUAUCUCGGUACGUAAACUCCUUUCGAUGGGGAAGAUAAUGACGGUACCCAUAGAAGAAGCCCCGGCUAACUUCGUGCCAGCAGCCGCGGUAAUACGAGGGGGGCAAGCGUUGUUCGGAUUUAUUGGGCGUAAAGGGUGCGUAGGCGGUUUGGCAAGUCUCGUGUGAAAUCUAUGGGCUCAACCCAUAGUCUGCACGAGAAACUACCGGGCUUGAGUGAUGGAGAGGUGAGUGGAAUUUCCGGUGUAGCGGUGAAAUGCGUAGAUUCGGAAGGAACACCUGUGGCGAAAGCGGUCAUGGACAUUAACUGGACGCUGAUGGCACGAAAGCUUAGGGGAGCAAACCAGGAUUAGAUACCCUGGUUAGU